RNAcentral lists this ribosomal RNA (468 nucleotides) under uncultured bacterium. RNAcentral's name for it is "partial 16S ribosomal RNA". It matches the Rfam family "Bacterial small subunit ribosomal RNA", at positions 28 to 507 of the family's 1533-position model. The record is from RNAcentral.
GACGAACGCUGGCGGCGUGCUUAACACAUGCAAGUCGAACGGAAAGGCCCUGCUUUUGUGGGGUGCUCGAGUGGCGAACGGGUGAGUAACACGUGAGUAACCUGCCCUUGACUUUGGGAUAACUUCAGGAAACUGGGGCUAAUACCGGAUAGGAGCUCCUGCUGCAUGGUGGGGGUUGGAAAGUUUCGGCGGUUGGGGAUGGACUCGCGGCUUAUCAGCUUGUUGGUGGGGUAGUGGCUUACCAAGGCUUUGACGGGUAGCCGGCCUGAGAGGGUGACCGGCCACAUUGGGCCUGAGAUACGGCGCAGACUCCUACGGGAGGCAGCAGUGGGGAAUAUUGCACAAUGGGCGGAAGCCUGAUGCAGCAACGCCGCGUGCGUGAUGACGGCCUUCGGGUUGUAAACCGCUUUCGCCUGUGACGAAGCGUGAGUGACGGUAAUGGGUAAAGAAGCACCGGCUAACUACGUG